Molecule: transfer RNA, 67 nt
Filed under: Bathymodiolus septemdierum
Lineage: Eukaryota; Metazoa; Mollusca; Bivalvia; Mytilida; Modiolidae
Description: tRNA-Tyr
Source: RNAcentral
CGCAAAAUGGCUGAACAAUUAAUAGGCGGUUGGCUGUAAACCUUCUUAUGGGAAUUCUCUUUUGUGA